GAGAAAGGAAAAAUUGAAAUCGCAUCAUAUGACCCCUUUAAGUAGAGAUAGCUUAAUGUGUUAAGUUUCUGUAAGGGGGAGGAGCCCCGUUCGAACACGUUUGAGCAGUGAGCGCGAUGUUUGAAGAUUCCGGCUCAUGCAUCAUGAGCGAUGGAUUUGGAAAGCAGCAUGUAAUGGUGAGUGUGUUAACCUCUAUUUCUUUAUCUUUCUAGGAAAAUUGAUUAUCCGAAAGACCGGUCCGACUGUAGUUAAAGCUAAAGUAGUCUUAAUGUACCGAUCAACGGUUUUUCCCCUGGCGUUUCACAGUUUCAUUACCCUUAGCUUCAGUCAUUAACAUCAGCAUGUGUGCAUCAAUUCGCUUUUUGUUAAAGCUAAGUUAGCUUGUCUCUUUGAUAUAUUAUCGUGUCUAUUAUUAUUUAUAAUAACUGCAACUGAGUUGUUGAGCUUAAAGGGUUAUGCGUAUGCUGAAAGUUUCAGUUAGUCUUGAAAUGUAACACUUUUUUCUCUGUUUUAGGUGUUCGUGGAGUUCUAAUUAAAGUUACAGGAUUGUGGGCAAGAAUCUCAAGCAUGAAAUCAUUGACCGACAUAGUCGUAGUCUAACUGAGAUAUUUCAGUCUAAGAGAGAGAAUGUUGGGCAGGUGUUGACAGCUUUCACAACAAAUCAAUUGAUUCAUUUUACUCCCCAGAGCCAACUGAUACUAGGUCUCUUGUCGUCCUUGGCGACAAACCUACAGAUUUCUACAAAGUAUGCUUUGACUCUGAUGACGAUUACUGAUCGGCAAUGAAUCGCCUGCAAUUUUGUGUAGCUUGUCAGUGAUCUACGGCUCUGUGCAGUAAA
Long non-coding RNA from Sinocyclocheilus grahami, 838 nucleotides. RefSeq lists it as uncharacterized. The record is from RefSeq and is a predicted model, not a curated record. The transcript is spliced from 3 exons. Lineage: Eukaryota; Metazoa; Chordata; Actinopteri; Cypriniformes; Cyprinidae.